This is a long non-coding RNA of Epinephelus fuscoguttatus (brown-marbled grouper), 1794 nucleotides long. RefSeq lists it as uncharacterized. Lineage: Eukaryota; Metazoa; Chordata; Actinopteri; Perciformes; Serranidae. The transcript is spliced from 3 exons. The record is from RefSeq and is a predicted model, not a curated record.
AACCCCACACAUUUCUUUUAUUUCCAUUCUACCUGUCCAUUCAUCCAUUUAGCCGUACGGCACAGAAUAUGUCAGCUGAGCAAACAAAUCCUGAAAUCUAGCUUGUGUUUUAGAUGACAAUGUGACGUAUGCCCAAGUCACCCAGCACAACAAAGGUAAAGCCAAGAAAAACAAAGGAAAAUCAACUGCCCCAGCAACUGAUGAAGCUGUUUAUUCUGAAGUUAAACCAGGAACCGCUCUUGGUCUGUAAGGAGAGGUCAUUCUUCAUUUCCAUAUUUUUUAUCCUGUUGGGGGUUGCAGGGAGGCUGGAAACUAUCCCAGCUGACAUACACCCUGGACAGGUCACCAGACUAUCACAGGGCUGACACAUAGAGACAGACAACCAUUCACACUCACAUUCACACCUACGGACAAUUUAGAGUCACCAAUUAACCUGCAUGUCUUUGGACUGUGGGAGGAAGCCGGAGUACACUGAGAAAACCCACGCUGACACAGGGAGAACAUGCAAACUCCACACAGUAGGGCUGCCCCACCCUAGGAUCAAACCCUCCACCCUGGAACCUUUUUGCUGUGAGGCAACAGGGCCAACCACUGCGCCACCGUGCCGCCUGUAUAAAAAUGCUCUCAAGCAUUUUAGAAAAUUAUUGUGGACACACUGCUAUCCACAUAUUACACAUGCUCAGUAUUUUGUGCAGUGAAUUUGUUGGUAGAUAAAAAAAAUCACAUCGUUCCAUUCAAAAUUAGUACAUCUCCAGUGAAACGUGAUCCCAUCGGCUCCUUUACCUUGUGCACUGUAAUUUAGUUCUUUUUGCGUCUUCUUACAUUGUUGGCUGCUGCUUUAUAAUUGUGCAUGUUUCCGGAUGGUUCUGGUAAUCCAUGGUUUCUGGUUGUGGAAUAAUUUCACCGUUCACACAUCCUGGCCUCAACAAGACAGCUGCAUGGUCACUCCUCCUGAACACUGUCGGCAGUGAUCCACAGCAUGAUCGGGACAGCAGCUCACAGUCCCACUGACACACCAGUCUUUGUUCACCAUGGAACACACACCUCCUCUCCUUCUCUUGCCUGAGUCUUCUGCUCUGUCACAAUUGGCAAACAGAAUAAGAGUCACCUGGUGAAAUGGCGCUGGCCAAGUUUUGGUGAACAUCCUGAUAUCCUUGAAAACUGAUGCGUCACAGAGGUCGUCCAGUUUAUUUCCAGCAUCUGUACAAUGGCUAGCAGGAUGCUAGUUUGGCUGGCGCUCAUUCUCCAUCUUUUCCUCGAUGUUUACUGAUGUUUACAUUUGAGAACCUUGACCUGGCUAGCUAGCAGCUAGCUAGCAGAGGAGAGUUUACAGACUGGUGAGUUGAUGCUCAUCAUCCUGAUGAGACUCGCAGCCACACGCCAUCAUCGUCCAAAGCCCACCACAAAAAGCACCACCAACACGCUGACAGAGAGGCGACUGGAAGCGUCUGUGCUUAACUUGUGGAUUUAAUUAGUCUGAGCACGAGCACAAGACUAUUGAUGCUUAUUCUCAUUUAAUAUUAAUGCUCUGCAUUAUCUUUAUUUUGUACAGUCAUUUUGUCAUUUAUUUUUUGUAGGUAACUUUGAAUCCAAUCUGUUCCAAAGAGCAGCACAAGUAUAUUUGAGCUUCUGAUCGUGCAGCUUCAAAGUCAGCAUCUUUUAUAGAGUUAGAUCAGAUAGAUCGAGGAUGGUCAUUAAAAAUUAUUUUAAUAUACAGUAUGUAACAAUUUGCUAUCAAGCAACAUAUCUUAUUACAUGUUCAUGUUUGCCUUUUGUCUUAAAAGUAUAUUUAUA